GAACAAUCUGCCUCACAAAUUCCACAGUCCCUCCCACCUCCACAGUUAAUGGUUUCGAGAUCUCAGCUGAUGAACUUGGUAUAAACAGUUGGUUUUUAUCAGCAGAACUGCUGAAAGUGGAAAGUGGUGGGAGCUGGGUAGGGGUAGCUUGGGGAGAGGAGAACAACAGCUGAGGGAAUGCAGAAGAAACAGCAGAAUUAAGCUUUCAUCCUUGCUUUGGUAAACUUGGCUGAAGCAACACCUGCUUUGUAAAGGCCAAGAGGUUCUUGUGGCGCUGCAUGAAGUGGGGGAAAGGAUAUUAGAAUGCUGCUAGGGUCCAUGAGACAAAGUCGUCAUCUUCAAGGUGAUGAUGAUAUGGAUUUCUGAGGAUGCCAGGAGCUGUACAGCAAGGUCAUCAAAGCAAUCGCAAUGUUUAUGGCUUCUCAGUUCUCCAGGAAUAUAUGGAGGUAUGCACACACAGUGCUAUUACCUUGGGGAAACUAUUAGAGGUUGCUUCACACUAUGAUAUGGACUUUUAUCCAUCAAGAGUAAUUACCUCUAUCUUGAUGAGAAAUGAGAAGAUGAUAGUGAGAAUUACUGCAUCACAUCAGAUGCCUCUGAAAAUCUCCUAG
RNAcentral lists this long non-coding RNA (611 nucleotides) under Numida meleagris (helmeted guineafowl). RNAcentral describes it as "lncRNA (ENSNMEG00000000793.1)". The record is from RNAcentral. Lineage: Eukaryota; Metazoa; Chordata; Aves; Galliformes; Numididae.